GGGGGGGGCAAGCGUUGUUCGGAAUUACUGGGCGUAAAGGGCUUGUAGGCGGCCAGCCAAGUCGGACGUGAAAUCCCUCGGCUCGACCGGGGAACUGCGUCCGAUACUGGUUGGCUUGAAGCCGGGAGAGGGAUGCGGAAUUCCAGGUGUAGCGGUGAAAUGCGUAGAUAUCUGGAGGAACACCGGUGGCGAAGGCGGCAUCCUGGACCGGUCUUGACGCUGAGGAGCGAAAGCCAGGGGAGCAAACGGGAUUAGAUACCCCGGGUAGUCCUGGCCCUAAACGAUGAAUGCUUGGUGUGGCGGGUAUUGAUCCCCGUGCCGUGCCGGAGCUAACGCAUUAAGCAUUCCGCCUGGGGGAGUACGGUCGCAAGGCUG
RNAcentral lists this ribosomal RNA (375 nucleotides) under uncultured organism. Its description in RNAcentral is "partial 16S ribosomal RNA". It matches the Rfam family "Bacterial small subunit ribosomal RNA", at positions 527 to 896 of the family's 1533-position model. The record is from RNAcentral.